AAAUCUUAGUGAAAAAGAUAAACUUCCUUGUAUGCAAGCAUACUGCGUCAGUUUCCUAUUUUCAUACAGAUUU
RNAcentral lists this non-coding RNA (73 nucleotides) under Streptococcus suis 89/1591. Lineage: Bacteria; Bacillati; Bacillota; Bacilli; Lactobacillales; Streptococcaceae. The record is from RNAcentral.